ACGUAGGGUGCGAGCGUUAAUCGGAAUUACUGGGCGUAAAGCGUGCGCAGGCGGUUCUGAAAGUCAGCUGUGAAAGCCCCGGGCUUAACCUGGGGAUUGCGGUUGAAACUACAGGGCUAGAAUCUGGCAGAGGGGGGUGGAAUUCCACGUGUAGCAGUGAAAUGCGUAGAGAUGUGGAGGAACACCGAUGGCGAAGGCAGCCCCCUGGGCUGAGAUUGACGCUCAGGCACGAAAGCGUGGGGAGCAAACAGGA
This 253-nucleotide ribosomal RNA is filed under the name uncultured prokaryote. RNAcentral describes it as "partial 16S ribosomal RNA". It matches the Rfam family "Bacterial small subunit ribosomal RNA", at positions 525 to 777 of the family's 1533-position model. The record is from RNAcentral.